AAUGAACGCUGGCGGCAUGCCUAACACAUGCAAGUCGAACGAAGCCUUCGGGCUUAGUGGCGCACGGGUGCGUAACGCGUGGGAAUCUGCCCUUGGGUUCGGAAUAACAGUGGGAAACUACUGCUAAUACCGAAUGAUGUCGUAAGACCAAAGAUUUAUCGCCCAGGGAUGAGCCCGCGUAGGAUUAGCUAGUUGGUGUGGUAAAAGCGCACCAAGGCGACGAUCCUUAGCNGGUCUGAGAGGAUGAUCAGCCACACUGGGACUGAGACACGGCCCAGACUCCUACGGGAGGCAGCAGUGGGGAAUAUUGGACAAUGGGCGAAAGCCUGAUCCAGCAAUGCCGCGUGAGUGAUGAAGGCCUUAGGGUUGUAAAGCUCUUUUACCCGGGAUGAUAAUGACAGUACCGGGAGAACUAAGCUCCGGCUAACUCCGUGCCAGCAGCCGCGGUAAG
Molecule: ribosomal RNA, 451 nt
Filed under: uncultured bacterium
Lineage: Bacteria
Description: bacterial SSU rRNA
Rfam family: Bacterial small subunit ribosomal RNA
Source: RNAcentral